RNAcentral lists this unclassified non-coding RNA (654 nucleotides) under Allium brevistylum. Its description in RNAcentral is "sequence contains ITS1, 5.8S rRNA gene and ITS2". The stretch from base 247 to 402 matches the Rfam family "5.8S ribosomal RNA". Lineage: Eukaryota; Viridiplantae; Streptophyta; Magnoliopsida; Asparagales; Amaryllidaceae. The record is from RNAcentral.
UCGAGUCCCUCUUUAUGAGAUUGAGAACGUGUAGCAUUACCCAUCGAGAACAAGCUAGUUUUGCAAUUGCACUUCUGCUUUCUAGAUGGCUGUCUUUUUGCCGCCUUUGGCUUGCUUUACUCGAGGCAACAAGGAGAGCGGGAAUAAGACCCCGGCGCGGUUUGCGCCAAGGACGGUUGUUGUUGGAGUGCAUCGCCUUCUUUUUUGUUGCGCGGUGUGUUCUCCUACUAGUGUGAGAAUAUGCAUGACUCUUGGCAACGGAUAUCUAGGCUCUCGCGUCGAUGAAGAACGUAGCGAAAUGCGAUACUUGGUGUGAAUUGCAGAAUCCCGUGAACCAUCGAGUCUUUGAACGCAAGUUGCGCCCAAGACCAUCAGGUCGAGGGCACGUCUGCUUGGGCGUCACGCCUAGCGUCACUCGGAGCACCUACCUAGCUUGAAACGUCAUGACGGUUUCGGUGCAUCUUGAUGUGGACAUUGACUCUUCGCGCACUUCACGCGCGGUGGGUUUAAGUGAUUGGUGUUGCUGGGUUUCCACGCGACGGAAUGGUGGAUAGAUUAUACGCAUCAAGCCUCCAGUUAUGCACGUGACUCCCAGCCAUGGCUUACAAGAAGUGGAACCCAGAACGAUGCUUGCACCUUUUGCAAGAUCGGACC